RNAcentral lists this ribosomal RNA (3253 nucleotides) under Micrometula sp. 6832. RNAcentral describes it as "partial 18S ribosomal RNA". The stretch from base 975 to 3253 matches the Rfam family "Eukaryotic small subunit ribosomal RNA". Lineage: Eukaryota; Foraminifera; Allogromiidae. The record is from RNAcentral.
CUCAAAGAUUAAGCCAUGCAAGUGGUUAUGUAAAACCUGACGGUUUAAAUUAGUGUUUAUAAAAAAAUAUUUGUUACAACCACAAAAUUUUUUUUGCUUUUAGCAAGAAAAAAAAAUCACUAACGCAACUGCAAACAGCUGCUUAAUACAGUCACACUUGUCUUGACUUAGCACCAUAUUUUUUUAUUUUUCUCUUUGCAGAGAAAAUAAAUUAAUAUUUACACAAAAAUGUGAAUUUUGAUUUCCACUUUUGAGAAUCCAUUUUUUACACACAUACACUACUUUGGAUAACUCAGGGAAAGUUUGGCUAAUACGUACGAGAUUUUACAAAAAAAACAGUAAAAAUGUUUUUGCGUAUUUUUUACACACACACACACAUACGCAGUAAAAAAAACAUUUUUUACACAAAUAUUCACAUCUCAGCUCUUGUUGGUAAAUUCUCAUGGGCAUUCCGUUCGCGGUUGGCUUUAUAAAAUUUAAACGCAACAUGAGAGACAACAAGCACGCAACGUCAUUCCUUCGGGAUAUGGCAUUAUGCUGAGCAGACUUUGCGAAGAAUUUCCUUUGCGAAGCAAGUCAUACAAGCAUCUACAGCAUCAAGUCACAGGGUUGACAAGUGUAUUUUUGAACCUUCAAAGCAGUUACGCAUACGGAGGAGUAGUUUCUGAUCCCAUAGAAGGAGCACCGUACGUUGAGAGACCGCUCUUAGUUCUAAGGAACGCAGCAGGCGCGUAAAUUGCCCAAUGCUAGUACCCUAUUGUUUGAAAAACAAUUUAACUAACACACAUACGCACAAAAAAACGACAACGUUUUUUUUACUAAACACUAUAUUUUGUUAACAUAACACACGAAAACAAAUAUCCUUGUUUACUUCGCUAAAAAUGUGUAUUAAGAAAGUUUUUUCUCUCUUUUUCACUGAGGCAGUGACAAGCUGUAACGGUUGAGUAUUUAUCUAAGAGAGUGUCUGGCAUUGUCGCCUGAUCUUCGGUGAUGGCUUGACAGUUCGCCGACGCUUUAUGUGCUCAAUUGGAAUGCGGUGAAUUUAAGAAACUCAGAACCAUUUGAUGGUGUUCUCUUUUACGUUUACACUAUUAGGUUAUCUGAAUUUUCAAGUGGAGGGCAAGUCUGGUGCCAGCAGCCGCGGUAAUACCAGCUCCACUAGCCUAUACAAUCAUUGUUGCGGUUAAGAGGCUCGUAGUUGGAUUGAACGAUUUUACGUACUACUUUUUUUUUACUAAAAAAAGAUAGUAAAAAUUCGCACAUUUUUUUUUCACACACACACGUACAAGAAAGAAGCGAAUUUUGUCAUUUUUUACCAUUUUUCAACACUGUGAACAAAUCAGAGUGUACCAAACAUGUCCUUUUAUAAAUGUGCAUUGAAUGUCUUAUCAUGGAACGUUGCUUUUUUGUACAUUUUUAAAACUUUUUACACACACACACAUUCGUACAAAAAAUUUUUCGUACUGAAAAAAAAAGAAGAAUGACAAUUUUGUUUUUUUUACUACAAGUGUAAAAAUAUGUACUUUUAUGUCGAUGGGGAUAGUUGGAGCCAAGAGUACUGCUGGGCGAGAGGUGAAAUUCGUUGACCCUAGCAAGACUACCAAAAGCGAAAGCNCUUGGCUAGGCUACACCCUUUGUGUUUUUUGCUUUACUUUUUUUUUGUUCUGUACAAAAUUUUUUUACACACAAUUUUUUUUGUACAAAGAAAAAAAUUAAAUUUUUUAGCAAACACUUUACAAUGAAGAACGAAGGUUGGGGGAUCAAAGAGGAUCAGAUACCCUCGUCGUCCCAUUCGUUACAUCAAACGAUGGGCUCUCAAUUGCAUAUACUAAAGUUCUUAGUUUAUGCCCUCAACCUGCAAAUUUGACUUGAGCUUAUCUUCGGAUAAUUGCUCGUCGGUUUGUAUACUUUGGUUUCGAUGGACAUUUUCUGAACUUAUCUAAUUUGACGUGAUACGUAAUAUUUAUUAUUCGUUCACUUGAUUUUAGGAGCUUUGCGCUCAAUUGGUGAGAUGUAAGCACUUUGUAAUCUGCCCUCAAAGCAAGUUUGUGUUACUUCGGCAGCCUACUAUGCUUUGCUGUGUGUAGUUUUACAUACUUUGCGCGAUGCACGCUUUAGGCACGCGCUUACUGCAGAAAUGUCUGAGACAUUCCCCUCCGGGGGUAGUAUGCACGCAAGUGUGAAACUUGAAGGAAUUGACGGAAGGGCACCACAAGAACGCGUGGAGCAUGUGGCUUAAUUUGACUCAACGCGGGAAAUCUUACCGGGUCCGGACACACUGAGGAUUGACAGGCAAAAGAUACAAGUUUUCUUUGUGAGAGCUUGCANUGUAAAAUAUGCGAGUCCUUUCAUGAUUAUGUGAUAGGUGGUGCAUGGCCGUUCUUAGUUCGUGGAGUGAUCUGUCUGCUUAAUUGCGUUUCACAACGAUUUAAAAUGCUAUGUUUUCUGUGUUUGCUGUUCGGUUUUAGCUCUUACGGGAGUUUUUAACUUUGAACGCACACGGCGUAGCUUAAAACAAUCGGAAAGCAACGAACGUGACCGCAACCUCUUGUCGCCUUUAUUUUUAAAAGCGUAGAAAAUUUUAUAUUUUCUUACGCUUGAAAAAGGCUUUAAAACUAGAGGGACCGCUGUUCUAUUCUCUUAAACCAGAGGAAGAUUGCGGCAAUAACAGGUCUGUGAUGCCCUCAGAUGUUCCGGGCUGCACACGUGCUACAAUGAUUGUUGCAGUGAGCAUCUAUUUUCAAACGCUACCGUUGCGGAUUUUGUGAGAAGGGGGCUUGUUUUAAAGCUUUCGGGUGGAGAAGCAGGUUCUUUUUUUCACAAUUUAUUCCGCGUUACGUGUCAGCUAAACCUGCUUCGAAAGCAAGUAGGUAAUCAAUUGGAAGUAACGAUUUCCAUUUUUUGGAAAGCACAACUUUUUGGUUCGUAUGGUACUGCGAAGUUAACGCAGUUUACUGUGUCUUUCUCUCGUCGGUAUUCACACGGAUAUCUGUGCUACUAUUUUUAAAAUUCAAGGUGGGGACAGACCAUUGUUAAUUGUUGGUCUCGUUUUAACUAGGAAUGCCUUGUACGGGUUGGUUCAUCAAACCACCCGGAAUACGUCCCUGCCCUUUGUACACACCGCCCGUCGCUCUUACCGAUGGACUUCUCUGUGAGGUUGAGGGACUGGGUCCUUUGCGACCUACGGAAACUCAUUCGGACAGGGUGGUCUAAAGGAAAGAGAAGUCGUAACAAGGCAUCGGUAGGUGAACCU